GAUGAACGCUGGCGGCGUGCCUAAUACAUGCAAGUCGAGCGAACGGACGAGAAGCUUGCUUCUCUGAUGUUAGCGGCGGACGGGUGAGUAACACGUGGAUAACCUACCUAUAAGACUGGGAUAACUUCGGGAAACCGGAGCUAAUACCGGAUAAUAUUUUGAACCGCAUGGUUCAAAAGUGAAAGACGGUCUUGCUGUCACUUAUAGAUGGAUCCGCGCUGCAUUAGCUAGUUGGUAAGGUAACGGCUUACCAAGGCAACGAUGCAUAGCCGACCUGAGAGGGUGAUCGGCCACACUGGAACUGAGACACGGUCCAGACGCCUACGGGAGGCAGCAGUAGGGAAUCUUCCGCAAUGGGCGAAAGCCUGACGGAGCAACGCCGCGUGAGUGAUGAAGGUAUUCGGAUCGUAAAAAUCUGUUAUUAGGGAAGAACAUAUGUGUAAGUAACUGUGCACAUCUUGACGGUACCUAAUCAGAAAGCCACGGCUAACUACGUG
This 497-nucleotide ribosomal RNA is filed under the name uncultured bacterium. RNAcentral's name for it is "partial 16S ribosomal RNA". It matches the Rfam family "Bacterial small subunit ribosomal RNA", at positions 28 to 507 of the family's 1533-position model. The record is from RNAcentral.